AAUUAGUCUAUGUUUAAUACUCCUAAUUAGUAUCUAAACAUUCGAUUUGAUGUGACAGGAAUUUUAGAAGGUUCUAAUGAACCAAACCUCCCCUUAACUUCCAAAUGAGUUUUUUUUCUGGUGGACCGUACUUACCAUAUAUUUUGCGGGAACUUCAAUGCUUCCAUAUUACCGUAACACUUCAGUGAUUUUCUUUGUUUUUGGGAGAAAACUUUACUUUUAGUUUUCUUACAUCUUGUCACUUUAUUACUUUUGUCUGUUACUCUUAGUUUGCAGCAGCUAUAUCAGCUCAUUGGUUUCAGGUUUACUCAGAGAAAACUUGAGAAAAGCUGGUGAAUCCAUGAAUUUCUUAAUGGUGAUGUUGAUAAUCAUGAUAUUUCCACUUCGAUUCCUGGAGCAAGCUAGGAAAAAAGAUUAUACGAGUGAGAGGGCAAGCUAGUAUGAAGUAUGAACAAACAGUGAAUGAGAAAAGGAGGGAGGUUCUGAGGAUGCUGCAUUCAAAUGAUCAGAUAGGUGCAGGUGCAACAGUACUGACCGAUGUCACAUUUGGGUGUCGUUAUUGCUCUCACCAUCCCAGCAUUGCUGGAGAAAUCGAAGCUAUAUUGCCACAUUCUUCUAGGGCGCUUUAGUGGAUGUUCAGGCAUGCGAGCGACCAUGCAAAGAGUUGAACAGGGCACUGGGAAAAGGAGAGGCUCUAUUGAUAAUGGAUAUGCAUAUGCUGUAAUUCACCGAAAUCUUUAUCAUGUGAGUUAACUCACGACUCUGUUUUUGCUCUCUUCCUAUCCAAAAUUUUGCCGUGUACACUAGGCUGUCUUUCGAGGCUAAACAAU
Long non-coding RNA from Setaria italica (foxtail millet), 830 nucleotides. RefSeq lists it as uncharacterized. The record is from RefSeq and is a predicted model, not a curated record. Lineage: Eukaryota; Viridiplantae; Streptophyta; Magnoliopsida; Poales; Poaceae. The transcript has 3 exons.